RNAcentral lists this ribosomal RNA (440 nucleotides) under uncultured bacterium. RNAcentral's name for it is "partial 16S ribosomal RNA". It matches the Rfam family "Bacterial small subunit ribosomal RNA", at positions 339 to 795 of the family's 1533-position model. The record is from RNAcentral.
CUACGGGGGGCACCAGUGAGGAAUAUUGCACAAUGGGGGGAACCCUGAUGCAGCAACGCCGCGUGGAGGAUGACGCAUUUCGGUGUGUAAACUCCUUUUAUAUGUCAAGAAAAUGACGGUAGCAUAUGAAUAAGCACCGGCUAACUCCGUGCCAGCAGCCGCGGUAACUACGGAGGGUGCAAGCGUUACUCGGAAUCUCUGGGCGUAAAGGACGCGUAGGCGGGUUGGAAAGUCAGGUGUGAAAUCCUACAGCUUAACUGUAGAACUGCACUUGAAACUUCUAAUCUAGAGUAUGGGAGGGGGAGAUGGAAUUAGUGGUGUAGGGGUAAAAUCCGUAGAUAUCACUAGGAAUACCUAAAGCGAAGGCGAUCUCCUGGAACAUUACUGACGCUAAGGCGUGAAAGCGUGGGGAGCAAACAGGAUUAGAUACCCCUGUAGUC